Molecule: non-coding RNA, 964 nt
Organism: Phoenix dactylifera (date palm)
Lineage: Eukaryota; Viridiplantae; Streptophyta; Magnoliopsida; Arecales; Arecaceae
Source: RefSeq, a predicted model, not a curated record
GGGCAUUGAUGAGAAAUGCUUUUAAAAAAAUAGCAAUAUUUAUUUUCUUUCUUCCUAAAUCUUUUCUCUUCAGUUCUUUCACGAAAUCCAAUUCAUGAGAUUGGUGACUCUUUGAUGAAAUUGACAUCUAUCACAAAGCUUUCUCUCUCCCAUUGUCAAAUUCAAGAAAUUGGAUCUUCCCUCACGUCAUGUGUGGUUUUGAAGUCAAUCAGAUUUGCUCAAAACAAGAUUACAGUAUGUUUUACCUGCAUAAAAUACAUGCUCUGCCAGCUGAGUUGGCACGGAACAUAAAAGUUCAUAAUUUAGAUCUUGGGACCAAUCUGAUUGAGAAUUGGUCAGACUUAAAGGUCAGUGAUUAAUGAUGCCUGACUUUGUUACUUCAACUACAUCUAAGGAUGCACUAAUUUGAGACUUUAGGUUGCAUUGCUGCACAAUCUGCUGAAUUGACAAGGAUCAAAUGAUUUUGAUAAUAAGCAAGGAAAGGUGGAAAUAAGUUCCUUAAUUGAAGCUUAGGAGUAAGGAGUUGCCUUUAAUAGAAGACAUAAACUGAGUGAAGCGAGCAGCUGAUUCAAAACUUGGUCUUCCAUCACAUUAGCUAUGGAGAGUACAGUGUUUGCAAAGUCAGUAGAAUAGUGAAGAACUGGCGGAUGUUGAGCUUGCGAGAAGAAUCUUCCCAAUCCUGUGUGCAAUUAACAUCAGAGAUGUCUAGGCAGACACUUGGAAAAAGGAAGAGAUACAUUCUUGGAUUUGGGGUUGGGCCGAAGCCCUCUUCAUCUUCUUCCACACCUAGUCGUGUGUCACAUCUUAUAAGUUUGGUGACAGAGUUCUUAAAGGAAAAGACUCAAACGCACAAGUCAUCUAUCCAUCAUGAUGGGGCCAUGUAUUCAACUGGUGGUAUAAAUACUCGUUGAUACAUGGUGGAGUUAUGAGCAUGUGAAAUCUAGUUUUUGGUACAUGGAUAGCU